RNAcentral lists this unclassified non-coding RNA (269 nucleotides) under uncultured fungus. RNAcentral's name for it is "partial contains small subunit ribosomal RNA, internal transcribed spacer 1, and 5.8S ribosomal RNA". The stretch from base 1 to 73 matches the Rfam family "Eukaryotic small subunit ribosomal RNA", at positions 1759 to 1831 of the family's 1831-position model. Lineage: Eukaryota; Fungi. The record is from RNAcentral.
GCAAACUUGGUCAUUUAGAGGAAGUAAAAGUCGUAACAAGGUCUCCGUUGGUGAACCAGCGGAGGGAUCAUUACCGAGUUUAUAACUCCCAAACCCUGUGAACGUUUUUUGUGCUGCUUCGGCGGGGGCCCCAGGGCGGGGCUUCGGGCUUCGGCCGCCUGCCAGCGGUAGACUACAAAUUCUUUUUAGCGGACGUCUGAGUGAUAUUAUAACGAGUCAAAACUUUCAACAACGGAUCUCUUGGUUCUGGCAUCGAUGAAGAACGCAGC